AAUUCUUGGAACUCUUGUAUUUUAAUUGUUUCAUUUCUUUGCAUGCUUGUGAUAGCCCUUGUUGAGGCUUAUUAUAUUGCUUUAUCUUUGUCCAAGCACAGGCCCUUGUUGAGGCCAUCAUUUGUUACAUUUGGGUUUUUAUUGUGAAUGGAUGAAUUGUUUGAUCCAAGUUUGGGGGGAAAUUUUAUCCCUUCACCUUAUACUCCUCCAUCAUAUGUUAAUCUUUAUGAGAUUGAGUUCAAUUCAUUUCAUGCAUCAUCUUAUUAUAGACUUGAUCACUCAUUUAAUCAUUCUCAUGACUAUUACCCUCCACCAUAAUUUUAUGAAGAACCAAAUCCACCACCUUCUAGGUACUCACCCGGAUUUGAAAAAAAAUUGUUAGCUUUACUUGAUGUGCAUAUUUCACAAACUCCACUUAUUAAUUCUCAUUCUCAAACUUUAGCCAAGCUUGAAGCUCAAGUUGAGCAAAUUGCAAGUACUCUUUCUCGUCAAGAGGAUGAGGAAGAGGCAAACGAAAAAAUGGCAAGAACUUCAAUGUAUAUAGAUGAGGAUGAUGAGAGUGAAGAGGAUGAAACAAGUGAGCUAAUGCCUAGCACUCUAUCUUGUAUAGAGGAGGAAGUGGUAAGUGAGUUAGUGGCUAAUCCAAUAGAGCAUAACAUGAUUAAUGAGGAUUUUCCUUGUUUUGAUUAUGAUUUUAUCUAUGACCUUGCUACUCUAGAGAGUAAGGAGAUGUUGACCACACUUGAGGUAGGAGAGAAGGAGGAGGAACUUGUUGAAGAUGGCCUUCCUUCUAUUAUCUCCAAUGACCCUCUUGAGGAAUGCCUUUUUGAAAUGUAUAAAAAUUGUGGUCUUGACUUUGAAAGCUCCAAAAAUGAAAUAAACUCUUUAAUGAACUCCUUAGCUUACUUGAAAGGUGAGGAGAUGGUUAUUUUUUAGGAAGAGAAGAGGGAUGAAAAGAAGGUGUUUCUUAAUAUUCCAAAUGAGUCUUUAAAAGACUUUCUCUUGCCAAGUGCAAGGCCGCUCAUCAUUGAUUUUAUUUUCAAGACCGUGGAUGACAAGAACAAUAUCAUCUCUUUCAUAUCUUUUCAAGUCAUUUUUUUGGAGGAUGAUUUCAUUGUCAUAAGUGGAACAUUAAAUGAGAAAAUGGAAAAGAGAGUCAAUAAGGAUGUUUCAUAUCCAGUUUUUGAUUCUUUUGAUUAGUGAGUUGGCCCAACGUCUUGCUAGAGACGUUAAACACUAGUAUUCGUAGAGUUUCACAACUCUAUUCCUUCCUCAUUUCUUUUUGUUUUUCAUUUCUUGCGAAGCCUAGAUAUUUGUUCUGGGUUCAUAUACAUUUCAAGGAACUGUGAUAAGGAUUGCAUGCACUUUCAUGUCAUAAUUGAACAUUUGGCACAAGUUCGAUCGAUCUCAAAUUGGAGUUCGAUCGAUCGAACUGUGGAUUGCACUCAACACUUAGAAAAAUUUUCGACCUGCAUCCACCUGCAUCCAAAUCACCUUUCUGUCCAAUCAAUCGAAAUUAAUUCCUAGAUCGAUCUGAAGUCUUCGAUCGAUCCAAUUUCAAGAUUCGAUCGAUCUUGAGUUUUGACACUUAGAAAAAUUUUGAGCCCUUUUUCAAUCCCAAAAUGUCAACUCUUGGGAUCUCCAUUUGAGUAUGUUUUCAUAUGUUCAAUCGAUCGAAAAUAUUCCUAGAUCGAUCUGAAGUUCUUCGAUCGAUCCAACUACAUCAUUGGAUCGAUCUCAAGUUCCAGCACUUAGAAAAUUUUUGAACCCAAAAACCUGCAUAUUUUCACCCCUCUCUGUCAGAUCGAUCGAGCAUUUUGUCAGAUCGAUCGAACAUGUCUGCAGGUUUUGAAAAUUUAUUUUUACUUUUACUUUUAUUUUUAUUUUUGUUUAUAUUUCAAAAAUCCCAAAAAUAUUUCUUUUAUUUUAUUUAGAUUAUUUUAGUUAUUUUAUUUUAUUUUUCAAAAAAAAAAAAAAAAAAAAAAUUCUUUUAUUCUAUUUUAUUUUGCUUCAUUUUAUCUUAUUUCCAAAAAUUCAAAAAUAUUUUGUUUAACUUUAAUUUUUCUUAAUUUUUAAAUUUUAAUUUUAAAAAAAAAUAUAUAUUUAUUUGCAUUCUUUAUUUCCUUGUAUUUUUACUUCUUACAUUUUUAUUUACUUACCUUUUUAUUUUUGUUUGUGUACAUAUUUGUUUUGUCUAUAGAAAAUAAUGAAAUAAUAAUAAUAAAUAAAAAAAGACGAUUUUUCAAUAUAGUAUUCCGUCUUGCUAGAGACCUUAAAUUUAGCACCCAUAUGACAUAUUGUGUCUCUUAUCUCUUGUAUCAUACAUGUUUAUUUUCAUUUUUCAUUUCUUUAUCUUUCUUGCAUUUUGUUUCAUUGUGCAUACUUUGAUUAAAAAAAAAAAAAGUUUUUAUUUUCAUUUUUUAUUAUUUUGUUCUUGCAUCAUUUCUUACUUUUUGUUUUUCAUUUAUUUCACUGUACAUAUUCUUUCAUUACAUUUUACCUUCUUUAUUUUUCUUUUCAUAUUUUGUUGAUACAUUUUACUCUUCGUUUUUCUUGCAUUUUGUAUAUACUUACUUUCAUUAAAUGAAAAAUAUUAAAAAAAAAAAAAGUUUCACCAUUGUGCCCUUGUGUGUAUUCAUGUUUUCAUGCAUUAAUUAGGGCUUGAUCUCAUAUCUCUCUUUCAUCUUGUGAUAUAUUGCCUCAGAAUGCUUGAUUAUUCUUAUCCCAUUCGAUAUUUAAUGUGAGUUUGCUAGUGUGGUUAUUCAAGUAGGUUGUUGAUUCCAAGUUUGGGGGAGACGUCUUUCGAAUUGGAUCACUACCGGGUUUCAUGUCUACAUUACCACGGUAUAUUCUUUCCAUCUUUUCCAUUGUUCUCAUUGCACAUUGAAGACAAUGUGCGGUUUAAGUUUGGGGGUAAGGUGUCUUGUUGCAUUCUACUUAAAGUUGAGUUUUAAUUGCAUGAUUGAGAUUUGGGAUUGAUGUUAUCUAUGAUUUUGAUCUUUUGAGGACUAUGUUGCUUAGAAUUUAAAAUUUGCAUGACUUGAGGGUACAAUACUCCUUGUAUGCCUUGUGGAAGCCAUUUAGGAGUAAAUUUUUCAAAAGAUUGAUAUCUUGCUUACACUUGUGGUCUUCAUCAUCUUGAUUUUGUGAUUGUUUUGAGAUUUAUUCUAGAAUUCUACACUAGCACAGACGUACACUAGCUUUCAUUUGUGGGGUACAUGCUUUGUUGAUUAUUGAAUUAGUUAUAUCCCAAUUGAGCUAGUAGUGCAUUGAAAACUUUCAUUCUUGAUAAAGGUGGAUAACAACCCCUUUUCACUAAGUAGCCGGGAUUCUAGCCUCAUCAAACACUGAACUUCUCACGCCGAAAGGUGGAGGGCCCAAACUCUACGUUAAUAAUUGAACUUGCUUUUUAAAAAUAAAAAAAAAUAAAAAAAAUAAAAAAAAAAGUUGCAAAAGUAAUAAAAAGUGAGGACUUCUCCCAAAAGGUGAGAAGUGGGAAAUGAUUAGAUGGAGGUUGUCUUGAUUUGUAACCUAAUUGAUUUGAGCUUGUAAGUCCGUAGGGGUGUUUGAACACCUAGUGCCCUAAAGCCGUCUGGUUUGGGAGUCAUUGACCUAACGCUCGAUCUCAUGAAUCACUAGAAAGUUUAAGAGAUCAACACAUUGCACUAUGCUUCCAUCUGUGAUCCUAAAAAAAAAAAAAAAAAUUUGAGUGAAAAGAAUAAGCAUACCUAGAACAAUAAAGCUUUAAUAAAAGGUCCACUUUUUGUCUUGAUGAUCGGUACUAGAUUUGUGUGCUAGUUUGAGGGUAAUGAUGUGAUUAAUUCUUAAGGAUUCUAGAGUUGUUUUGAUUUGCAGGAUCAUUUUCUUGAUGUGUGGAGGAUUAUAUUUGCUUGCUUGAUAUUGAGAUUUUGGGAGAUUGCUUGGAAAUGGUUGAAAAAUUGCAUACUUGAGGUUAAUAAUGUUAAAAUGGGCUAAAAAUGGAUUCUUAAGGCUCUUUUGGAGUCAAACUAAGUCUUGGAGAGGAUUCGGAGCAAAAUGAGGUUGAUUUGGAGCAAAAAGAGGCUGAUCCUGAAAAGCUGCCAUGUGAGAUCGAUCAGAAAAGUGAGAUCGAUCAAAGUUGGAUCGAUCAAAAAUCAAAGUUGGAUCGAUCGAACUUUUCUCUGAUCGAUUGAACUUUUUCUUUGAUCGAUCGAACAUUGCUGGCAGUGAGCUGUCUUAUUCCGUGCGCACCCAAAAGUCCACUUAUCACAUAGUACGAGAUUAGAUAUUUUUGGGGCUAUAUUCCUGACUUAGUGACUAAGAAAAUGACCUUCUAUAUAAAGGGAAGUGACCCAUUUGUAAAGGAGCUUUUAUCAUUUUUAUUUUUUCAUUGUAUUUUUUAUUUCUCUCUAUAGCAAAGUUAGAGAUUAGGGUUAGAAGAAAAGGGGGGAAGUGGAGGCACAUCUCAAGAUCCAUCUCUAGACCACUCUCUCUCUCCAUCUCUAAAGCUUCAAAGAAGAAAAAGAAGAAGAGGAAGAAGAAGAUGGAGCCAUAUUUGGAGCUUGAUUCCAUGACCACAUCCACCACCUCCAUGAUUGGCUAGAUCUAUACUUAGGGGUUGGAUGAGCCCUAAGUCUUGUGUAAUCUAAACCCUUGUAUUUCUAUUUUGGGGGAUUUAUAUAUAUUAUUGUGAUUACUGUUCUAGCCUUGUGAAUUUAAUGAAUCUUGGUAUAUUUCUAUGAUUUC
This is a long non-coding RNA of Cornus florida, 4725 nucleotides long. RefSeq lists it as uncharacterized. NCBI's taxonomy places the organism in Eukaryota, Viridiplantae, Streptophyta, Magnoliopsida, Cornales, Cornaceae. The record is from RefSeq and is a predicted model, not a curated record. The transcript has 2 exons.